GCAGAGUUGGCGCGCCAGGGCGUGGAAGCCGCCGGAGGAUCCCGCCUGUCGCAGCGGGGACGCGUGUGGGCCCCUGCUCCCAGGCCACUUCGCGCGCGCGCCCCCCACAUCCUCCUCGGGACACUUGUCCCUGGAUCCUCUACCCCUGGCCGGCCCGAGGCCGCCUUCUCGGGAAGCCCCACCAGCCCCCAAGGGUGUUUUCCCUUGGCUACCUGCGCUGCGAGGAGAGAAGGGAAUUCAGAGAAGGGGUACAAGGGGGGCGUCCCUGGGAGGGGGCGCGACUGGAGGAGACAGAACGGGGAGCGGGUGCCAAAGCGCGGGCCUUUGCUCCGCCUGGGCGCAGUGGGAGCACCAACUGGCAGAGUUGGAAACUUUUCCUCCACGUGGCACCACAGUGCGUGGACGAGCGACCCCGCGCCCGGAUGACCCCUGGGAUUCCCGCCUCGUCUUCCAGCGGGGGACCUAGGGACGCACGGGCGGCUUCAGAUCCGGGAGCGCGAGGCCUAACAGCCGGGGGCCGAACUUGAACCUCGGAGGCGGCCGCGGGCGAGGGGCGGGGCCGAAGGGGCCGGGACCGCCGCCCCAGCUCGAGGACCCGUUAGACCGGCAAACCGCAGUCCCUGCCCCGCGGGCUUCCUUUACUUUUUGGGAGUGGGGGGCGGUUUCCCUGCUUUUUCCACCACAGCCCCUCCUCCCGCCGCAAUGUGGCUGAUGCUCAUAAAAAGUUGUAUUAAAGAGCUGACUGCAGCCGAGAAUCGAUCAACAAAAGCGACCAGCCUCUCUGGGUCACACUCCUUCAGCUUCCCCGUUUCUGAAUCCCAGGUCUAUCCACGGCCUUCUCAACAGAUGACUUCAAGUUGAUUUCGUGCUUUAUUUCUUAAGAAUAGUGACUAACCUAAGGGAUCUGAUUCAAUUUAUUAGGAACACAGUGCCACCUUCCAAAAUUACUUACCUAAGAGGACUGAGCCUGCUGUCCCUGGAGCAGUUAGCUAAAACAGUGCCUCAGUACGGAGCGUACCUGUGUUAACUUCUAGAGUGCUGUUUCCGGCAGCUGCUGAAAUCCACGCUGAGGUUAUCAAGCUCAUCCUACAAAAUAAAGUGUCUCUGAUGAAUGACACAUUGAUCAACCCAUAUUCUUCAGACUCUACCAUGUGAAGCCAAUGAAAGAUGCCUGCUGGUGACCAAAUGAUGUUCAUGUAAAAUGGCCAUUCUGGCAAAUUUAAUAAGCUUUAGAUUUAUUUUAAAAACCAACCAGUAUUUCUAUCCCUUCUCAAGGCAAUGUUUUCUAUUUGAGGUUUCACUUGACAUGACCAGGUAGGAAAAUUGAUGAAUAGUCAUAAGAAGAAACUUU
Molecule: long non-coding RNA, 1351 nt
Filed under: Homo sapiens (human)
Lineage: Eukaryota; Metazoa; Chordata; Mammalia; Primates; Hominidae
Description: non-protein coding lnc-CALN1-1:1
Source: RNAcentral